UUUUAACGGCCGCGGUAUUCUAACCGUGCAAAGGUAGCGUAAUCACUUGUCUUCUAAAUAGAGACCAGUAUGAACGGCUAAAUGAAGACAAGCCUGUCUCUUACAACCUAUCAGUGAAACUGAUCUCCAAGUCCAAAAGCUUGGAUAUUAACAUAAGACGAGAAGACCCUGUGGAGCUUAAAACCUAAUACUAACAAAACCUAACAUUGUAAUAAAACUAGUAUAAAUUUUAAGUUGGGGCGACUUCGGAACAAAACAGAACUUCCAAGCACAGAACCACUACUUCUAACCAAGGCCAACAAGCCAAAGCAAAAACUGACCCAGUAAUACUGAUCAACGAACCAAGUUACCCCAGGGAUAACAGCGCCAUCUUCUUCAAGAGUCCAUAUCGACAAGAAGGUUUACGACCUCGAUGUUGGAUCAGGACACCCAAAUGGUGCAGCCGCUAUUAAAGGUUCGUUUGUUCAACGAUUAAUAGUCCU
Molecule: ribosomal RNA, 482 nt
Filed under: Sphenomorphus sp. steerei 5 CWL-2011
Lineage: Eukaryota; Metazoa; Chordata; Lepidosauria; Squamata; Scincidae
Description: partial 16S ribosomal RNA
Rfam family: Bacterial large subunit ribosomal RNA
Source: RNAcentral